GAUGGAAUACCUCUACUUACUGCUCGUCUCUCAGCCCAUCCCUGGCCAAUCCACCUCCAGCAGCCCACCAAGACCCUCCUGGAUCUGCACUAUCUCCAUGCUCAGCUCCCUCUACCUCCAACCCUGGAUAUCUACUCGCAGUAAGCUUCUUCGACCCAGACCGGACCACCUUCCCUCUCUUGAGCCAUUACGCCUCCCUGAUCCCUGUCGGACGAACUCAGCUACUUUUCUGCUGCUCCUUUAGUUUCUCCUUUAAUAAGUUAUUGUUUGAACGUUCACCCUUGUCUGUGAACUGAUUCUGUAUGUCGUGGGUUAGACACCUACCUCACAACAGGACAGUGUGGUGGGUGUGAGGUGUCGGUGGUGCAGGGGUGACCAUGAGGGCGAACUUUGUGAUCUUCCACUUCGAUGUUGUAACUGUGGUGGAGACCAUCAAGCAGCUGAUCGGAGUUGUGUGGCGGUUAGGGGAGGUGGUGCCUUGUAAUGUGCCUCUGUCGGCUGGAGGUGCAGAUGAGGGGGCUGGGGUGGUGGUUGUGAGAGAUAAGAGAAAGUUUUUCUGGUUGAAGUUUUGUGGAGGAUGAAGCAUGUGGCAUCCAACAGGUCAGAUGUGGCUCAGGACGUGUCUGAUGCUGCAGAGGCCUUUCUGGGGUUUUGUGACAUGUCCCCCGAGAAUGUUUUGGGGGGGUUGCGGGUUUGUGGGGGUCUCGGACUGCUGUGGGUCACAGGACGUGGAUGUUGGAGGUGUGGGGGAGAGGGGACGGGCGUGGGAAACGGUUUUGUUACCUGUUGACGCUACGUUUCGCCGACGGCUGCAGGCUUCUUCAGGCUGACGCUGAUGGUGGCGCGUCCCUUCCUUCUCCGUUUAUCUGCGGGCAGCAGAGGACAUUGUCGCCCUCUCCAAUGAUGCAGUCCCAUGCGUGGUCCAGCGUGUAACCAAAGAUUUACUGUUUUUGUUUUGGCUUGUGAAGCACUUUGGUCAGCUUUCAUGCUGUUGAAAAUGCUUUAUAAAUAAAGUUGACUUCACGUAACAGUCCCAGUCCAUAUUCGAUCUCCACAGGCGACCAGCACGACUACAGCCGUGUUCCCCGGUGCCCUUCCCCACUGUGCAAAGACCUAGUUUGGACGUCGUACAGACAUGGUCUGGACCGACGGACUCAAUAUAGACAUGAUCUAGACGUCCAUACGACGUUGACCAUUUGCAGGGUCUUAGCUUCUUGGGUUAGCCAAGUUAGCUAGUUAGUGAGUAAAACUUUAUUUAAAUAGCACUUAUCAUAGAAUCACAAAGUGCUCCACAGAGAUCAAAACAAAAUUAAACAUAAAGUCAUUUAAUCAUAAUGAUCUCAAAACAGAAACAGAUUAACAUCAGAAGAAAUCAAGUUAUAAAGUUAAAACAUUCAUAAACAAAUGAAAGGUUUGAGUUAAAAAUAAGAAAAUAAAAGAUUUUGGUAAAAGCAGCUUUAAAUAAAAGG
This 1469-nucleotide long non-coding RNA is filed under the name Nothobranchius furzeri (turquoise killifish). RNAcentral describes it as "lncRNA (ENSNFUG00015009978.1)". The record is from RNAcentral. Lineage: Eukaryota; Metazoa; Chordata; Actinopteri; Cyprinodontiformes; Nothobranchiidae.